GACGAACGCUGGCGGCGUGCUUAACACAUGCAAGUCGAACGGAAAGGCCCUGCUUUUGUGGGGUGCUCGAGUGGCGAACGGGUGAGUAACACGUGAGUAACCUGCCCUUGACUUUGGGAUAACUUCAGGAAACUGGGGCUAAUACCGGAUAGGAGCUCCUGCUGCAUGGUGGGGGUUGGAAAGUUUCGGCGGUUGGGGAUGGACUCGCGGCUUAUCAGCUUGUUGGUGGGGUAGUGGCUUACCAAGGCUUUGACGGGUAGCCGGCCUGGGAGGGUGACCGGCCACAUUGGGACUGAGAUACGGCCCAGACUCCUACGGGAGGCAGCAGUGGGGAAUAUUGCACAAUGGGCGGAAGCCUGAUGCAGCAACGCCGCGUGCGGGAUGACGGCCUUCGGGUUGUAACCCGCUUUCGCCUGUGACGAAGCGUGAGUGACGGUAAUGGGUAAAGAAGCACCGGCUAACUACGUG
Molecule: ribosomal RNA, 468 nt
Filed under: uncultured bacterium
Lineage: Bacteria
Description: partial 16S ribosomal RNA
Rfam family: Bacterial small subunit ribosomal RNA
Source: RNAcentral